Molecule: ribosomal RNA, 253 nt
Filed under: uncultured bacterium
Lineage: Bacteria
Description: partial 16S ribosomal RNA
Rfam family: Bacterial small subunit ribosomal RNA
Source: RNAcentral
UACGGAGGGUGCAAGCGUUAUCCGGAUUCACUGGGCUUAAAGGGUGCGUAGGCGGGCAGGUAAGUCAGUGGUGAAAUCUCCGAGCUUAACUCGGAAACUGCCGUUGAUACUAUUUGUCUUGAAUACUGUGGAGGUAAGCGGAAUAUGUCAUGUAGCGGUGAAAUGCGUAGAUAUGAGAUAGAACACCAAUGGCGAAGGCAGCUUACUGGACCGCAAUUGACGCUGAGGCACGAAAGCGUGGGGAUCAAACAGG